UUCGCAGCUCACAGACGGGGAGCCUCGCUCCCGCACGAGGCUGCGUGGAAAGUCCCCGUGCUUGAGGGCAGAACGUGCCAGCGGGAGACCGCGUUGCUCGGGCUGCGGGCGCUUGCGGCGAAGCCAUCGGCGGACUCGCGGUGCUUGGCUUGGGCAUCUUCGCAGCAGCACAGCCAUCUCGUGAGCACCUGGCAGGGUGCCAACUGAACGGGGCUCACUCU
This 221-nucleotide RNase MRP RNA is filed under the name Alexandrium andersonii. RNAcentral describes it as "partial RNase MRP". It matches the Rfam family "RNase MRP", at positions 21 to 257 of the family's 266-position model. Rfam says of the family: RNase MRP is an enzymatically active ribonucleoprotein with two distinct roles in eukaryotes. In mitochondria it plays a direct role in the initiation of mitochondrial DNA replication. In the nucleus it is involved in precursor rRNA processing, where it cleaves the internal transcribed spacer 1 between 18S and 5.8S rRNAs. The record is from RNAcentral. Lineage: Eukaryota; Dinophyceae; Gonyaulacales; Pyrocystaceae.